RNAcentral lists this unclassified non-coding RNA (1031 nucleotides) under Leishmania donovani. RNAcentral's name for it is "gene:unknown". The record is from RNAcentral. Lineage: Eukaryota; Euglenozoa; Kinetoplastea; Trypanosomatida; Trypanosomatidae.
CACCGCCUCCAUUGCUGCCGUUUCACCACUCCCGAUGCCAUCCUCUCGACUGGAUGACGGGGCGACGGGGGACGCCUCAGUGCGCCGUAUCUCAGAGUCCAGCACCCCCCCCUCCCCAGUCGCUGCGUUGGAAAGCCGGGCAGCCCUCCUAUGUCCCUGCCACGUGCCGAGCCGCUUCUGGUGGUGACGGGGCCAGGCGCCAACACUGCUGAAAACGACUGAGCGAUGUGCCGCUGGUGGUGUCGGCGGCCAGGUCCUGGACGGCGCUGCGUCGGAGCGACCUGCGACCGUGUGAGCGCGCUUGUGCCAUCCAUGCGAUCAGGCCGAGUGCCAGCGUGUCUCGUCCGGCCCCGACACUGCCUGCUGGUGUGGGGAACGCGAACCCCCCCCGACAGCAGCACCAGGUGCUGACCAGCGUGAUGGAAGCGGCUGCGAGGCGACCUGCGAGACGGUGGCGGGCGGAGAGGUUGAGGCAGGGGCCGCUCACAGAUGGCCGCGUCAGCGCAUGUGGUGCAACGCUUGUGUGCCGCUGCGUGGCACCGCGCGGACGGGGUCUUGCGUGAGGGCUUUGGCUCGUGCGGCGCGGUGGAGCCGUGGACACGCGUGGAUGCAGAACAGAAAUCGAAUCGUGCUCUUGAUGCGCACACGCGCGUACGUAAGUGCCAUCGGACACGAACGUGUGCAUCUUCCUUUCUCUUUCUUGUGUGUGUGUAUGUGCGUAUGCUGCUUGCCGUCGAGUGCACGUACCUCUUCCUGCUUCCAUGUUUCACUUGCUUCUCUUCGCCGUCUCUCUGUGUUUGUCUGUACGUCCUUCCCCCUCGUUCUCUUUCCCUCUUCUCCCCUCCCCCAUUUUGUGUGUGUGUGUGUGUGUGUACGCGCUGCGUUCAUUGUUGUCAUGAAGUGGUGGUCGUCGGAUGGCACUUUCUCUCUCGCUUUUUGCAUGGCUCAUCGCUUCAACUUGGCUUCUCUUCCCCCCUCCUGCACCCGUCCUCAUCCUUCUCGAAGCGUCAGUGGCAACCAAGCCAGAACAG